GCUCUUUUACCCGGGAUGAUAAUGACAGUACCGGGAGAAUAAGCCCCGGCUAACUCCGUGCCAGCAGCCGCGGUAAUACGGAGGGGGCUAGCGUUGUUCGGAAUUACUGGGCGUAAAGCGCACGUAGGCGGUUACUCAAGUCAGAGGUGAAAGCCCGGGGCUCAACCCCGGAACUGCCUUUGAAACUAGGUGACUAGAAUCUUGGAGAGGCGAGUGGAAUUCCGAGUGUAGAGGUGAAAUUCGUAGAUAUUCGGAAGAACACCAGUGGCGAAGGCGACUCGCUGGACAAGUAUUGACGCUGAGGUGCGAAAGCGUGGGGAGC
Molecule: ribosomal RNA, 322 nt
Filed under: bacterium Fuku2-ISO-36
Lineage: Bacteria
Description: bacterial SSU rRNA
Rfam family: Bacterial small subunit ribosomal RNA
Source: RNAcentral